This 420-nucleotide ribosomal RNA is filed under the name Acinetobacter sp. 30A(2010). RNAcentral's name for it is "bacterial SSU rRNA". It matches the Rfam family "Bacterial small subunit ribosomal RNA", at positions 272 to 684 of the family's 1533-position model. Lineage: Bacteria; Pseudomonadati; Pseudomonadota; Gammaproteobacteria; Moraxellales; Moraxellaceae. RNAcentral also lists the same sequence under 1 other name. The record is from RNAcentral.
GGCGACGAUCUGUAGCGGGUCUGAGAGGAUGAUCCGCCACACUGGGACUGAGACACGGCCCAGACUCCUACGGGAGGCAGCAGUGGGGAAUAUUGGACAAUGGGGGAACCCUGAUCCAGCCAUGCCGCGUGUGUGAAGAAGGCCUUUUGGUUGUAAAGCACUUUAAGCGAGGAGGAGGCUACUUAGAUUAAUACUCUGAGAUAGUGGACGUUACUCGCAGAAUAAGCACCGGCUAACUCUGUGCCAGCAGCCGCGGUAAUACAGAGGGUGCGAGCGUUAAUCGGAUUUACUGGGCGUAAAGCGUGCGUAGGCGGCUUUUUAAGUCGGAUGUGAAAUCCCUGAGCUUAACUUAGGAAUUGCAUUCGAUACUGGGAAGCUAGAGUAUGGGAGAGGAUGGUAGAAUUCCAGGUGUAGCGGUGA